RNAcentral lists this microRNA (19 nucleotides) under Macaca mulatta (Rhesus monkey). RNAcentral describes it as "mml-miR-6129". Lineage: Eukaryota; Metazoa; Chordata; Mammalia; Primates; Cercopithecidae. The record is from miRBase by way of RNAcentral.
UGAGGGAGUUGAGUGUAUA